Molecule: ribosomal RNA, 506 nt
Filed under: uncultured bacterium
Lineage: Bacteria
Description: partial 16S ribosomal RNA
Rfam family: Bacterial small subunit ribosomal RNA
Source: RNAcentral
GAUGAACGCUAGCUACAGGCUUAACACAUGCAAGUCGAGGGGUAACGAGAGGAAAGCUUGCUUUCCUUGUCGACGACCGGCGCACGGGUGAGUAACGCGUAUCCAACCUGCCCCCAACUAGGGAAUAACCUUGCGAAAGUAAGACUAAUACCCUAUAAUUUCCUCAGAUGUCAUCUGACGAGGAAUAAAGAUUUAUCGGUUGUGGAUGGGGAUGCGUCUGAUUAGCUUGUUGGCGGGGUAACGGCCCACCAAGGCAACGAUCAGUAGGGGUUCUGAGAGGAAGGUCCCCAAACUUGGAACUGAGACACGGUCCAAACUCCUACGGGAGGCAGCAGUGAGGAAUAUUGGUCAAUGGGCUGAAGCCUGAACCAGCCAAGUAGCGUGCAGGAUGACGGCCCUAUGGGUUGUAAACUGCUUUUAUACAGGAAUAAAGUUAGCCACGUGUGGUUAUUUGUAGGUACUGUAUGAAUAAGGACCGGCUAAUUCCGUGCCAGCCGCCGCAGUAA